This 403-nucleotide ribosomal RNA is filed under the name uncultured bacterium. RNAcentral's name for it is "partial 16S ribosomal RNA". It matches the Rfam family "Bacterial small subunit ribosomal RNA", at positions 28 to 526 of the family's 1533-position model. The record is from RNAcentral.
GACGAACGCUGGCGGCGUGCCUAAUACAUGCAAGUCGAACGCAGUGGGGCCGGGUGAGUAACACGUGGGUAACCUCCCAUCAGAGGGGAUAACACUUGGAAACAGGUGCUAAACCGAUACUGAUGGAUGGACCCGCGGUGCAGUAGCUAGUUGGUGAGGUAACGGCUCACCAAGGCCACGAUGCAUAGCGGAGCUGAGAGGGUGAUCGGCCACACUGGUACUGGUACACGGCCCAGACUCCUACGGUGUGCAGCAGGAGGGAAUCUUGGGCAAGGGGCGAGAGUCUGACACAGCCAUGCCGCGUGUGUGAAGAAGGUUUUAGGAUCGUAAACUACUGUUGUUAGAGAAGCGGUAUCUAACGAAUAAGCCACGGCUAACUACGUGCCAGCAGCCGAGGUAAUAC